UUACUGGCUAUCGGUGUUCGCCUAAGCCAUGCGAGUCAUAUGUUCUUCGUGAACAUGGCGUACUGCUCAGUAACACGUGGAUAACCUGCCCUUGGGUCCGGCAUAACCCCGGGAAACUGGGGAUAAUUCCGGAUAACGCAUAUUUGCUGGAAUGCUUUAUGCGUCAAAUGGAUUCGUCUGCCCAAGGAUGGGUCUGCGGCCUAUCAGGUAGUAGUGGGUGUAAUGUACCUACUAGCCGACAACGGGUACGGGUUGUGAGAGCAAGAGCCCGGAGAUGGAUUCUGAGACAUGAAUCCAGGCCCUACGGGGCGCAGCAGGCGCGAAAACUUUACAAUGCGGGAAACCGUGAUAAGGGGACACCGAGUGCCAGCAUCAUAUGCUGGCUGUCCAGGUGUGUAAAAUACACCUGUUAGCAAGGGCCGGGCAAGACCGGUGCCAGCCGCCGCGGUAACACCGGCGGCCCGAGUGGUGAUCGUGAUUAUUGGGUCUAAAGGGUCCGUAGCCGGUUUGGUCAGUCCUCCGGGAAAUCUGAUAGCUCAACUAUUAGGCUUU
Molecule: ribosomal RNA, 552 nt
Filed under: uncultured Methanosarcina sp.
Lineage: Archaea; Methanobacteriati; Methanobacteriota; Methanomicrobia; Methanosarcinales; Methanosarcinaceae
Description: bacterial SSU rRNA
Rfam family: Archaeal small subunit ribosomal RNA
Source: RNAcentral